GCCUGGGUGGCUCAGUCGGUCGAGCGUUGGAUUUCAGCUCAGGUCAUGGUCUCGAGGUUCGUGGGUUCGAGCCCCGCGUCAGGCU
RNAcentral lists this transfer RNA (85 nucleotides) under Felis catus (domestic cat). It matches the Rfam family "tRNA". From Rfam's summary of the family: Transfer RNA (tRNA) molecules are approximately 80 nucleotides in length. Their secondary structure includes four short double-helical elements and three loops (D, anti-codon, and T loops). RNAcentral also lists the same sequence under 2 other names. The record is from Rfam by way of RNAcentral. Lineage: Eukaryota; Metazoa; Chordata; Mammalia; Carnivora; Felidae.